RNAcentral lists this ribosomal RNA (3300 nucleotides) under Triticum aestivum (bread wheat). RNAcentral's name for it is "partial small subunit ribosomal RNA". Lineage: Eukaryota; Viridiplantae; Streptophyta; Magnoliopsida; Poales; Poaceae. The record is from RNAcentral.
AUGGCGUCGCCGCCGCCGGAGGUCGCCGUGCCGGUUGACGAGGAGGACCGGGAGACGGAGGGAGAGGAUAUCUGCGCGUUCGACAUACCCGGCAAGAACGCCCCGCGCGAUCGCCUGCGCCGGUGGAGGCAAAUUGCUCUCGUGCUCAACGCUUCACGUCGUUUUAGAUAUACUCUAGAUCUCGCGAGGGAUGAAGAGAGAGAAAACUUGAGAAGAAUUAUACGAGCUCAUGCACAAGUUAUACGGGCAGUAUUCCUUUUCAAAAACGCUGGUCAAAAGGCGCUACAAGAAUCUUACGAUGGUACAAAAUUUGAGUCACUCUCUCAGAGAUUUCCAAUUGAUCUGGAAAAGCUUGUAAUGUUGAACAGAGACCAUGAGGCAAUUAUGCUUCAGGAGGUUGGAGGGGUCAGUGGGCUUUCGGAUUUACUAAAGAGUAAUUUAGACAGAGGAGUUAGCUCAAAUGAGGACGAGCUGUUGCAGAGAAGAGACAUUUUCGGGGCAAACACCUAUCCGCGCAAGAAAAGAAAAAGCAUAUGGCGCUUUGUAUUUGAAGCUUGUCAGGAUUUAACUCUUGUGAUUCUAAUGGUAGCUGCUGCUAUAUCAUUAUCAUUGGGCAUGGCAACAGAGGGUGUAAAAGAUGGAUGGUAUGAUGGUGGAAGCAUAUUCUUUGCUGUUUUUCUUGUGAUAUUUGUUACAGCAACCAGUGAUUAUAGACAAUCUCUUCAGUUUCAACAUCUGAACGAGGAGAAACAAAACAUACAAGUUGAGGUUAUCAGAGGUGGUAAGAGAGUAGGAGCUUCAAUAUUUGACCUUGUGGUUGGCGAUGUUGUUCCCCUCAAAAUUGGUGAUCAAGUCCCUGCAGAUGGUGUCCUGAUAUCUGGUCAUUCUCUUGCAAUAGACGAAUCAAGUAUGACGGGAGAGUCCAAAAUUGUUCAUAAGGACCAGAAGGCACCUAUGUUGAUGUCCGGUUGCAAGGUCGCAGAUGGCUAUGGCUCUAUGUUGGUAACAGGCGUGGGUACUAAUACUGAAUGGGGUACGUUGAUGGCCAAUCUUUCAGAAGAUAUUGGUGAAGAAACCCCGUUGCAGGUGCGCUUGAAUGGUGUCGCUACUUUAAUUGGUAUCGUGGGUUUAUCAGUUGCUGGUGUUGUCCUUGUCGUACUUUGGAUAAGAUAUUUUACCGGGCAUAGCAAUAAUCCAGAUGGAACUACUGCAUUUGUGGCUGGGACUACUGGUGCAAAACAGGGAUUUAUGGGGGCAAUCAGUAUUUUUACAGUUGCUGUAACUAUUGUGGUUGUUGCUGUGCCUGAAGGACUCCCUUUAGCAGUAACAUUGACCCUUGCAUAUUCAAUGCGAAAGAUGAUGCGAGACAAGGCUCUGGUAAUGCAUACAAAGAGAUUUACAAAGAAAAACCUUUACUCCAGUAUAAAUCUGUGUUUUUGGUUUCGCAUACAGGUGAGACGACUUUCAUCUUGCGAAACAAUGGGGUCGGCGACCACGAUUUGCAGUGACAAGACUGGAACUCUUACCUUGAAUAAGAUGACAGUUGUGGAAGCAUAUUUGAGUGGGACGAAGUUGAAUCCUUGUGAUAAUACUGGGAUGAUGUUUAGCAGUGUGGCAUCUCUACUUGUUGAAGGAAUUGCACAAAACACAGCAGGUGCUGUGUUUUCACCAGAGGAUGGAGGAGCUGCUGAAGUUGCUGGCUCACCAACUGAAAAAGCAAUUCUUUCUUGGGGUCUUGAGAUUGGGAUGAAUUUCACCGAUGUGAGGUCAAAAUCUUCAGUUCUUCGCGUUCUCCCAUUCAACUCAGUGAAGAAACGUGGUGGCGUUGCAGUGCAGUCAGAUGCUUAUGUACACAUCCACUGGAAAGGUGCUGCUGAGCUAGUAUUAGCAUCUUGCAAAAGCUGGUUUUCUGUUGAUGGUUCAGUUCAUCCAAUGAGUUCUGACAAGUAUAACGAAUUGAAGAGAUUCAUUGACGAUAUGUCAAUGAGUUCACUGCGCUGUAUUGCUUUUGCAUAUUGCACCUGCGAGCUCUCAAUGGUUCCUAGGGAGGAUCUCGAUAAGUGGCAGUUGCCUGAGGAAAAUCUGACUCUUCUUGGAAUGGUCGGGAUAAAGGAUCCCUGUCGCCCAGGAGUAAGGGACGCUGUACAAUUAUGCAGUGCUGCUGGUGUGAAGGUACGGAUGGUCACUGGAGAUAAUGUUGAAACAGCUAAGGCCAUUGCUUUCGAAUGUGGAAUACUAAAUGCAAAGGAUGCUGCUUCAGAGACAAUAAUAAUAGAAGGGAAGGUGUUCCGUGAAAUGUCUGAAACUGCACGAGAAGAAGUUGCUGACAAGAUUACAGUAAUGGCGCGGUCUUCUCCAAACGACAAACUUUUGCUUGUGCAAGCUUUGAAAAGAAAAGGCCAUGUAGUAGCUGUAACCGGUGAUGGCACUAACGAUGCCCCAGCAUUACAUGAGGCUGAUAUCGGUCUUUCAAUGGGCAUCUCGGGAACAGAAGUUGCUAAAGAAAGCUCAGACAUUAUAAUCUUAGAUGAUGACUUCACAUCCGUUGUCAAGGUUGUUCGUUGGGGACGUUCUGUCUACGCAAAUAUUCAGAAAUUUAUCCAGUUCCAGCUGACUGUUAAUGUCGCUGCCCUGGUAAUAAAUGUGGUUGCUGCCGUGUCCUCUGGUGCGGUUCCUCUGAAUGCAGUUGAGCUUCUUUGGGUGAACCUUAUCAUGGACACACUGGGAGCCCUUGCAUUAGCAACUGAACCACCAACAGAUAACCUAAUGAAGAGACAUCCUGUUGGCAGAAGGGAACCCCUUGUUACAAACAUUAUGUGGAGAAACCUGUUUAUCCAGGCUCUUUAUCAGAUAACAGUUCUUCUAGUCUUCAAUUUUGAUGGCAAAAGGAUUUUCCAUUUGCAUAAUGAAAGUCGAGAGUGCGCUGACAAAAUGAAGAACACCUUUGUCUUCAAUGCAUUUGUCUUCUGCCAAAUCUUCAAUGAGUUCAAUGCUCGCAAGCCUGAGGAGAAGAAUGUCUUGAGAGGAGUCACGAGCAACCGCCUUUUCAUGGGUAUAGUGGGUAUAACAACCGUACUUCAGAUCUUGAUAAUUGAAUUUCUCGGGAAGUUCUUCGGAACUGUUAGGCUCGGUUGGAAGCUAUGGCUGCUAUCAGUUGCAAUUGGUGCAGUCAGCUGGCCCCUCGCGUAUGUUGGCAAGUCCAUUCCUGUUCCGGCCAGACCUUUCCAGGAUUACUUGAAGCACUGUUGUGCCUGGAGAAGGCCACGCCGCCGCGAUGAAGAGCAGGGCGGCAAGAGCUGA